AAUAUUGCGCAAUGGGGGAAACCCUGACGCAGCAACGCCGCGUGGAGGAAGAAGGCCUUCGGGUCGUAAACUCCUGUCUUUUGGGACGAUAAUGACGGGACCAAAGGAGGAAGCCACGGCUAACUACGUCCCAGCAGCCGCGGUAAUACGUAGGUGGCGAGCGUUGUCCGGAAUUACUGGGCGUAAAGGGUGCGUAGGCGGUUAUUUAAGUCAGAUGUGAAAUUCCGGGGCUCAACUUCGGAAUUGCAUUUGAAACUGGGUAGCUAGAGUGCAGGAGAGGGAAGCGGAAUUCCUAGUGUAGCGGUGAAAUGCGUAGAUAUUAGGAAGAACACCAGUGGCGAAGGCGGCUUCCUGGACUGUAACUGACACUGAGGCAUGAAAGCGUGGGUAGCAAACAGG
This 399-nucleotide ribosomal RNA is filed under the name uncultured bacterium. Its description in RNAcentral is "partial 16S ribosomal RNA". It matches the Rfam family "Bacterial small subunit ribosomal RNA", at positions 360 to 776 of the family's 1533-position model. The record is from RNAcentral.